AUGUUGAGCUCCACCGCCGGCUACGUCUCCAUGGUCGCCGCCUCUGCAUGCCUGCUUCCCCUAGGCAGCAAGCCCGCCGGGGCCAGGAGUGGGAGCGGGAGAAAACACCGCCGCGGCCGCCUGUCGUGCAAGGCCGCCGCGGAUGGCGACGCCAAGCGGCUCGAGGUGGACCGCCGGCGCGUGCUCCUCGGGCUCGGCGGGGUCGCCGUCACCACUAACUUCGGCCUCUCGCUGGCGCAGGGCGCCGACGCCAGCCAGUGUGCGGCCGUGCCCAUCACGGCUGAGGUGCUCCAAUGCGUCUCGGUGCCCGGCGGCUUCCGGUGCCCGGGCCUGUACAACCCCAGCGACGUGGUGGACUUCAGCACGUUGCCACGGCCGCGCGGCCCACCGCGCGUGCGGAAGGCGGCGCAUCUGCUGGACGAGGCGGACGUGAAGAGGUACGAGGAGACGCUCGGGAGGAUGAAGGCGCUGCCCGACGACGACCCGCGCAGCUUCAAGCGGCAGUCGGCCAUCCACGAGGCCUACUGCGCCAGCCACUACAAGGUGGUGCCGGCGGGAGGCGGCCCGGAGACGGUGUCCGACGUGCACUACUCCUCCAUCUUCGCGCCGUGGCACCGGAUGUACAUCUACUUCUUCGAGGGCAUCCUCGGUGACCUCGUCGGCGACCCCACCUUCGGCCUGCCCUACUGGAACUGGGACACGCCGGCGGGGAUGGUGAUGCCGGCCAUCUUCGACAACAAGUGCUCUCCGCUGUACAAUUCCAGGCGCAACCCGGCGCGAGUGCACGGCUUCAUCGACCUCAACCUGGGGCAGCCGAAGCCAGACAAGGCGCAGAAACCUAAGUGCACCGACGACGAGCUCAUCUGUCGGAUGGAGGAUAAUCUCGCCAUCCUAUACCGUCAGAUGGCUGUGAGCACGCCCAAGGAAUUCUAUGGCGGCAAGUUCUGCAGCGCCGAGCUGGACGACAAAGGGAAGCAGCAGCACAAGGUGACCGGAUCGCUGGAGGCCGGGGCGCACACCGCCGCGCACAUAUGGCUCGGCGACCCAGAGCAGGCGAACCAGGACAUGGGGGACCUCAGCACGGCGGCGCGCGACCCCGUCUUCUACUCCAACCACUCCAACGUGGACCGCAUGUGGCACGUCUGGAGCACCAAGCUCGGCGGCCCCUUACUCCCCUACCAGGAGUGGCUCGACACCAGCUUCGUCUUCUACGACGCCGACAAGCGGCCCGUGCGCACCAAGGUCAGCGACGUCCUCGACAUCGGGAAGCUCGGCUACACCUACGAGGAGCACGGCGAGCUGCCGUGGCUGGGGAAACGGCCCAAGCCGGCCACCGGCAUCGACCGCCGCCCCGGCAAGAGGAGCGCUAACAAGGUCACCAGCUCGUACACCACCGUGACGCUGAGGAACGACGAGAACGUGUACAUGACGGUGGCGAGGCCGGAGAAGGCCUGGGCCGGCGGCGGCAGCGGCAAGAAGGCGCCGGAGGCGCUGGUGGUGGACAUCACGCUGGACCCCUGCGAGUACGUCAAGUUCGACGUGCUGGUUAACGUCCCCAAGGGCCAGGAGUACAAGGUGGGCCCGCGGAACGCCGAGUUCGCCGGAAGCUUCACGCAUGUGCCGCACGGGAGAAGCUUCGGCGGCGGCAUGGCCAUGAUCCAGGUGUCGUACCAGUUCGCGCUGCGGGAGCUGCUGGAGGACCUCAAGUCCGGCGAUGACGGCCAGCUGGACAUCACCAUCGUCCCCGUCAACGCUGAUGAGGUCGUCAUCGAUGACGCGCGCAUCGAGCUCCUCUAG
Molecule: ribosomal RNA, 1797 nt
Filed under: Triticum aestivum (bread wheat)
Lineage: Eukaryota; Viridiplantae; Streptophyta; Magnoliopsida; Poales; Poaceae
Description: partial small subunit ribosomal RNA
Source: RNAcentral